This 516-nucleotide ribosomal RNA is filed under the name uncultured bacterium. RNAcentral describes it as "bacterial SSU rRNA". It matches the Rfam family "Bacterial small subunit ribosomal RNA", at positions 1 to 535 of the family's 1533-position model. The record is from RNAcentral.
GCCCUUAGAGUUUGAUCAUGGCUCAGGAUGAACGCUGGCGGCGUGCUUAAUACAUGCAAGUCGAACGAAGUCAGUAGCAAUAUUGGCUGAGUGGCGAACGGGUGAGUAACGCGUUGGUGACCUGCCCCGAAGAGAGGGAUAACAGUUCGAAAGGAUUGCUAAUACCCCAUGUGGUCGUUUGGAUUAGAUACCUUAUGACUAAACGGAUUUAUUCGCUUCGGGAGGGGCCUGCGUCCCAUCAGCUAGUUGGUAGGGUAAUGGCCUACCAAGGCGAUGACGGGUAGGGGACCUGAGAGGGUGGCCCCCCACAAUGGAACUGAAACACGGUCCAUACACCUACGGGUGGCAGCAGUAGGGAAUAUUGGUUAAUCUGCGAAAGCGGGAACCAGCAACGCCGCGUGCACGAUGACGGCCUUCGGGUUGUAAAGUGCUUUUUGAAAGGAUGAGGAAGGACAGUACUUUCAGAAUAAGCUUCGGCUAACUACGUGCCAGCAGCCGCGGUAAAACGUAGGAAGC